This 253-nucleotide ribosomal RNA is filed under the name uncultured bacterium. RNAcentral's name for it is "partial 16S ribosomal RNA". It matches the Rfam family "Bacterial small subunit ribosomal RNA", at positions 524 to 776 of the family's 1533-position model. The record is from RNAcentral.
UACGUAGGGUGCGAGCGUUGUCCGGAAUCACUGGGCGUAAAGGGCGCGUAGGCGGUUUGUCGCGUCGGCUGUGAAAACCUGGGACUCAACCCCGGGCCUGCAGCCGAUACGGGCAAACUAGAAUUCGGUAGGGGAGACUGGAAUUCCUGGUGUAGCGGUGAAAUGCGCAGAUAUCAGGAGGAACACCGGUGGCGAAGGCGGGUCUCUGGGCCGAUAUUGACGCUGAGGAGCGAAAGCGUGGGGAGCGAACAGG